AAUCAACGCUGGCGGCGUGCCUCAGACAUGCAAGUCGAACGCGAAAGUCCCCUUCGGGGGACAAGUAGAGUGGCGCACGGGUGGGUAACACGUAGGUAAUCUACCUUUGGAUGGGGAAUAACAACCGGAAACGGUUGCUAAUACCGCAUAAUGCAGCGGCACCUAAUGGUGACAGUUGUUAAAGCGGGGGAUCGAAAGACCUCGCGUCUAAAGAGGAGCCUGCGGCGGAUUAGCUAGUUGGUAAGGUAAGGCUUACCAAGGCUACGAUCCGUAACCGGCCUGAGAGGGCGGUCGGUCACACUGACACUGACAUACGGGUCAGACUCCUACGGGAGGCAGCAGUCGGGAAUUUUGGGCAAUGGGCGCAGGCCUGACGACGCAACGCCGCGUGGAGGACGAAGAUCUUCGGGUCGUAAACUCCUGUCGAGUGGAAAGAAUAAUUCGGGGACGAAUACUCCCCGGAAUUGACGGUACCACUAAAGGAAGCCCCGGCUAACUCCGUGCCAGCAGCCGCGGUAAG
Molecule: ribosomal RNA, 520 nt
Filed under: uncultured bacterium
Lineage: Bacteria
Description: bacterial SSU rRNA
Rfam family: Bacterial small subunit ribosomal RNA
Source: RNAcentral